UGAGUAAUGUCUGGGAAACUGCCUGAUGGAGGGGGAUAACUACUGGAAACGGUAGCUAAUACCGCAUAACGUCGCAAGACCAAAGAGGGGGACCUUCGGGCCUCUUGCCAUCUGAUGUGCCCAGAUGGGAUUAGCUAGUAGGGUGGGGUAAUGGCUCACCCUAGGCGACGAUCCCUAGCUGGUCUGAGAGGAUGACCAGCCACACUGGAACUGAGACACGGUCCAGACUCCUACGGGAGGCAGCAGUGGGGAAUAUUGCACAAUGGGCGCAAGCCUGAUGCAGCCAUGCCGCGUGUGUGAAGAAGGCCUUCGGGUUGUAAAGCACUUUCAGCGAGGAGGAAGGUGGUGAGCUUAAUACGCUCAUCAAUUGACGUUACUCGCAGAAGAAGCACCGGCUAACUCCGUGCCAGCAGCCGCGGUAAUACGGAGGGUGCAAGCGUUAAUCGGAAUUACUGGGCGUAAAGCGCACGCAGGCGGUUUGUUAAGUCAGAUGUGAAAUCCCCGGG
This 506-nucleotide ribosomal RNA is filed under the name uncultured bacterium. RNAcentral's name for it is "bacterial SSU rRNA". It matches the Rfam family "Bacterial small subunit ribosomal RNA", at positions 107 to 607 of the family's 1533-position model. The record is from RNAcentral.